AUGAAACUCAAAAGUCAUAAGCAUGUAACCAUGGUUACAUGUAUGUAACCUUAGUUAGCCCAUCAUUAACUAAGGUUACCCUUUUGGGUAUCUACAUUUAGUCCUACACUUUAUAUGACAAUAUAUUGGCCCCCUUAACAAUGUCCAUAAGACCACCAAUUCGGCCAAACCAAAAGAUAGCACAUAACAUAUAAUUAAUCCAUAUAUUGUUCAUAUGUAUGUAGAUAUAAGUCCAUAUAUCUAACAAU
RNAcentral lists this long non-coding RNA (248 nucleotides) under Nicotiana benthamiana. RNAcentral's name for it is "long non-coding RNA (NBEN_LNC041851)". The record is from RNAcentral. Lineage: Eukaryota; Viridiplantae; Streptophyta; Magnoliopsida; Solanales; Solanaceae.